UGUAUACACUCACUGUAAGUCACUUCGGAUAAAAGUGUCUGCUAAAUGGCUUAUU
Non-coding RNA from Salmo salar (Atlantic salmon), 55 nucleotides. The record is from Rfam. NCBI's taxonomy places the organism in Eukaryota, Metazoa, Chordata, Actinopteri, Salmoniformes, Salmonidae.